UCAACGGAGAGUUUGAUCCUGGCUCAGGACGAACGCUGGCGGCGUGCUUAACACAUGCAAGUCGAACGGUGAUGCUCCAGCUUGCUGGAGUGGAUCAGUGGCGAACGGGUGAGUAACACGUGAGCAACCUGCCCCAGACUCUGGAAUAAGCGCUGGAAACGGCGUCUAAUACUGGAUACGAAACUGGCCCGCAUGGGCAUGGUUUGGAAAGUUUUUCGGUUUGGGAUGGGCUCGCGGCCUAUCAGCUUGUUGGUGAGGUAAUGGCUCACCAAGGCGACGACGGGUAGCCGGCC
This 293-nucleotide non-coding RNA is filed under the name Janibacter hoylei PVAS-1. RNAcentral's name for it is "partial 16S ribosomal RNA". It matches the Rfam family "Bacterial small subunit ribosomal RNA", at positions 1 to 292 of the family's 1533-position model. Lineage: Bacteria; Bacillati; Actinomycetota; Actinomycetes; Micrococcales; Intrasporangiaceae. The record is from RNAcentral.